RNAcentral lists this long non-coding RNA (920 nucleotides) under Nicotiana benthamiana. RNAcentral describes it as "long non-coding RNA (NBEN_LNC016287)". Lineage: Eukaryota; Viridiplantae; Streptophyta; Magnoliopsida; Solanales; Solanaceae. The record is from RNAcentral.
UGCGUGUUUACUAUGGUCGUGGAUUCUACGUCAUUUCAUAUGGUGUAGGAACCUAUAUUUUGAAUUUGUUGAUUGGGUUUCUGUCACCAAAGGUGGAUCCUGAGCUGGAAGCUUCGGAAGGUGCUUCUUUGCCACCUAAAGACAAUGAUGAAUUUAGACCUUUCAUUCGCCGGCUACCAGAAUUUUUGUUCUGGUGAGAGCACUUACCUCAAAAUAUAACAUAUUCAUUGUAAUUUACUUUGUUCAUUAGGCUUUGCAUCUCUAAUGGUAAGAGGGGUUGCUCUGAUGGUAAGCAACCCCCACUUCCAACCGAGAGGUUGUGAGUUCGAGUCUCCCCAAGAGCAAGGUGGGAAGUUCUUGGAAGACAGUGAUGAAUUUAGAUCUUUUGUUCGCCGGCUACCUGAAUUUUUGUUCUGGUGAGAUCAUAUACCUCAAAAUAUAGCAUAUUCGUUGUAAUUUACUUUGUUCAUUAUGCUUUGCACCUCUGUUUCAACUGUUGCUGUUUGACUCAUGUCAUGGUAAUAGUUGCACAAUGUAAUGUGGUGAUCAACUUUUCUUGUUUUAGGCAGCAAAGAUACAGUAAUUUACACUUCAUUAUUGAAUUUGUGACGAACGACUUUUCAUGAUUCCAUUUGUCCAUGUCGUGAAUACGCAUCGUCGUGCAAUAAAGUGGUUCUUUUGAGCAUAGUAAUUGUCAUGGAUUAGCUUGUUGCUGAGCAGGCUAUUGUUCUAAAAACAUGAAAAAUAUCAUUCUUUGCUAGUUAGUAUGAUAUAAGGACUAGUCUAGUCACUGCAUUUAAUCAAGAGGCAGCAUAACACAGGGUAGGCAUUGAUGAUUCCUAUUUAAACUGGGGAAGGAUGACUGAUUAACACGUGUUAACUGACCUAAAUGUUAUAUUAGCUGCACGUGCGGAGUUUUU